Molecule: unclassified non-coding RNA, 264 nt
Filed under: Hevea brasiliensis (rubber tree)
Lineage: Eukaryota; Viridiplantae; Streptophyta; Magnoliopsida; Malpighiales; Euphorbiaceae
Source: RNAcentral
GCAGAACCUUGCUGGUAAUCUCACUUCCUGGUAUAACAUAACCAACAGCCUGAUGUCCUGAACCUAAAGCAUCGAAUGGAGAGCAAAAGGAAGCACCAGAAGGAGAAGUCAAACCAUUUGUACUGUAGGAAGAAGAGAAGGCAACCAUAUCAUCAACUGCCCUAUUCAUGUCUGCGUCCCUCCAUGCCCAUGAGCUAUCAUCCGAGCUAAGAGAGGGAGGACGUGAAAAAUUAGUACCAAGAUGAUCAGAAGGAUUCCAAUACA